This 467-nucleotide ribosomal RNA is filed under the name uncultured bacterium. Its description in RNAcentral is "partial 16S ribosomal RNA". It matches the Rfam family "Bacterial small subunit ribosomal RNA", at positions 28 to 506 of the family's 1533-position model. The record is from RNAcentral.
GACGAACGCUGGCGGCGUGCUUAACACAUGCAAGUCGAACGGAAAGGCCCUGCUUUUGUGGGGUGCUCGAGUGGCGAACGGGUGAGUAACACGUGAGUAACCUGCCCUUGACUUUGGGAUAACUUCAGGAAACUGGGGCUAAUACCGGAUAGGAGCUCCUGCUGCAUGGUGGGGGUUGGAAAGUUUCGGCGGUUGGGGAUGGACUCGCGGCUUAUCAGCUUGUUGGUGGGGUAGUGGCUUACCAAGGCUUUGACGGGUAGCCGGCCGGAGAGGGUGACCGGCCACAUUGGGACUGAGAUACGGACCAGACUCAUACGGGAGGCAGGAGGGGGGAAUAUAGCACAAUGGGCGGAAGCCUGAUGCAGCAACGCCGCGUGCGGGAUGACGGCCUUCGGGUUGUAAACCGCUUUCGCCUGUGACGAAGCGUGAGUGACGGUAAUGGGUAAAGAAGCACCGGCUAACUACGU